This 1292-nucleotide small RNA is filed under the name Pan troglodytes (chimpanzee). Its description in RNAcentral is "retained intron". The record is from RNAcentral. Lineage: Eukaryota; Metazoa; Chordata; Mammalia; Primates; Hominidae.
CUCACCAUGGAUGAUGAUAUCGCCGCGCUCGUUGUCGACAACGGCUCCGGCAUGUGCAAGGCCGGCUUCGCGGGCGACGAUGCCCCCCGGGCCGUCUUCCCCUCCAUCGUGGGGCGCCCCAGGCACCAGGGCGUGAUGGUGGGCAUGGGUCAGAAGGAUUCCUAUGUGGGCGACGAGGCCCAGAGCAAGAGAGGCAUCCUCACCCUGAAGUACCCUAUCGAGCACGGCAUCGUCACCAACUGGGACGACAUGGAGAAGAUCUGGCACCACACCUUCUACAAUGAGCUGCGUGUGGCUCCCGAGGAGCACCCCGUGCUGCUCACCGAGGCCCCCCUGAACCCCAAGGCCAACCGCGAGAAGAUGACCCAGAUCAUGUUUGAGACCUUCAACACCCCAGCCAUGUACGUUGCUAUCCAGGCUGUGCUAUCCCUGUACGCCUCUGGCCGUACCACUGGCAUCGUGAUGGACUCCGGUGACGGGGUCACCCACACUGUGCCCAUCUACGAGGGGUAUGCCCUCCCCCAUGCCAUCCUGCGUCUGGACCUGGCUGGCCGGGACCUGACUGACUACCUCAUGAAGAUCCUCACCGAGCGCGGCUACAGCUUCACCACCACGGCCGAGCGGGAAAUCGUGCGUGACAUUAAGGAGAAGCUGUGCUACGUCGCCCUGGACUUCGAGCAGGAGAUGGCCACGGCUGCUUCCAGCUCCUCCCUGGAGAAGAGCUACGAGCUGCCUGACGGCCAGGUCAUCACCAUUGGCAAUGAGCGGUUCCGCUGCCCUGAGGCACUCUUCCAGCCUUCCUUCCUGGGUGAGUGGAGACUGCCUCCUGGCUCUGCCUGACAUGAGGGUCACCCCUCGGGGCUGUGCUGUGGAAGCUACCUCCUGGCUCUGCCUGACAUGAGGGUCACCCCUCGGGGCUGUGCUGUGGAAGCUAAGUCCUUCCCUCAUUUCCCUCUCAGGCAUGGAGUCCUGUGGCAUCCACGAAACUACCUUCAACUCCAUCAUGAAGUGUGACGUGGACAUCCGCAAAGACCUGUACGCCAACACAGUGCUGUCUGGCGGCACCACCAUGUACCCUGGCAUUGCCGACAGGAUGCAGAAGGAGAUCACUGCCCUGGCACCCAGCACAAUGAAGAUCAAGAUCAUUGCUCCUCCUGAGCGCAAGUACUCCGUGUGGAUCGGCGGCUCCAUCCUGGCCUCGCUGUCCACCUUCCAGCAGAUGUGGAUCAGCAAGCAGGAGUAUGACGAGUCCGGCCCCUCCAUCGUCCACCGCAAAUGCUUCUAGGCGGACU